RNAcentral lists this ribosomal RNA (253 nucleotides) under uncultured bacterium. RNAcentral's name for it is "partial 16S ribosomal RNA". It matches the Rfam family "Bacterial small subunit ribosomal RNA", at positions 524 to 776 of the family's 1533-position model. The record is from RNAcentral.
UACGUAGGGGGCUAGCGUUGUCCGGAAUCAUUGGGCGUAAAGAGCGCGUAGGCGGCCCGGUAAGUCCGCUGUAAAAGUCAAAGGCUCAACCUUUGAAUGUCAGUGGAUACUGCCGGGCUAGAGUCCGGAAGAGGCGAGUGGAACUCCUGGUGUAGCGGUGGAAUGCGCAGAUAUCAGGAAGAACACCAACGGCGAAGGCAGCUCGCUGGGACGGUACUGACGCUGAGACGCGAAAGCGUGGGGAGCAAACAGG